This is a non-coding RNA of Punica granatum (pomegranate), 636 nucleotides long. Lineage: Eukaryota; Viridiplantae; Streptophyta; Magnoliopsida; Myrtales; Lythraceae. The record is from RefSeq and is a predicted model, not a curated record.
AGGAAGAGAGCGAGUGGGUGCAUAGCUUGAGCGUGAGCUGAAGCUCGAUGAAGAGGAAGAGGAAUGAAAGAGGAGGGGAUGGGAAAGGAGAAGGCCAGGGGUGGAGAAACCGAACAAAGAGAUGAACGAGACAGGGAAGAUUGAUGUUAGAUUGAGAUAGGGAAAUCGGAAUCCACUAGGAAGAGGGACUAAGGAAACUGCAUACUGGCAUUCGGGAGGCUCGAUUCGAAGGACUAUAUCUCGGGAGUUCUCCAUGGGACUGCUGGACCCGGCGGAUUAUAAAAGAGCCAGACCUGUGGAAUAGAAAUAGGGGCCUGAUCGACCGCUGGACCCGAUGGAAUAUAAAAAGGGGCCCGAUCAACAGCUAGACGCGGCGGAAUAUAAAUUAAUGUCAACUCUUACCGCCAGAGGUUAAUAAGCGGCCUCGCUUAUGAGAUAUGUUUAUGAGGAUAUGUGAAUAAUUUUUUGAGAUGUGCAGGGUCACGAUACCGACACAACUCUAUUGUGAUGAAAUGCAACCCUAUGGCUAUAUUGAUUGGUUGUGUUGUAUAUUGUUUAUCUGGUAUGAUUGUUGGAGAUGUGAUGAUUGUUGAGAUUGUCUGAAGUUAUUCUGUGAAAGCCGUCUUAUUACUCGAG